This 393-nucleotide ribosomal RNA is filed under the name uncultured eukaryote. Its description in RNAcentral is "SSU rRNA". It matches the Rfam family "Eukaryotic small subunit ribosomal RNA", at positions 567 to 972 of the family's 1831-position model. The record is from RNAcentral.
CCAGCAGCCGCGGUAAUUCCAGCUCUAAUAGCGUAUAUUACAGUUGUUGCAGUUAAAAAGCUCGUAGUCGGAAGUCGGGCUCGGGCAGGCUGUCGGCCUCGGUUGGGCAGCUUGCUUGGGUCUUCUAGCUCGGGGGCCCCGUGCCAUUUAACCGUGGUGCGCGGGAACACGGGCCGUUUACUUUGAAAAAAUUAGAGUGUUCAAAGCAGGCCUACGCUUGAAUACAUUAGCAUGGAAUAAUGGAAUAGGACUUUUGUCCAUUUGGUUGGUUAUUGGACAUGAGUAAUGAUUAACAGGGACAGUUGGGGGCAUUAGUAUUUAAUUGUCAGAGGUGAAAUUCUUGGAUUUAUUAAAGACUAACUUAUGCGAAAGCAUUUGCCAAGGAUGUUUUCA